This 253-nucleotide ribosomal RNA is filed under the name uncultured bacterium. Its description in RNAcentral is "partial 16S ribosomal RNA". It matches the Rfam family "Bacterial small subunit ribosomal RNA", at positions 524 to 776 of the family's 1533-position model. The record is from RNAcentral.
UACGUAGGUGGCAAGCGUUAUCCGGAAUUAUUGGGCGUAAAGCGCGCGCAGGCGGUUUCUUAAGUCUGAUGUGAAAGCCCACGGCUCAACCGUGGAGGGUCAUUGGAAACUGGGGAACUUGAGUGCAGAAGAGAAAAGCGGAAUUCCACGUGUAGCGGUGAAAUGCGUAGAGAUGUGGAGGAACACCAGUGGCGAAGGCGGCUUCUUGGGCCGUUUCUGACGCUGAGGCGCGAAAGCCAGGGGAGCGAACGGG